RNAcentral lists this ribosomal RNA (1995 nucleotides) under Shigella sonnei. RNAcentral's name for it is "partial 23S ribosomal RNA". It matches the Rfam family "Bacterial large subunit ribosomal RNA", at positions 942 to 2915 of the family's 2925-position model. The record is from RNAcentral. Lineage: Bacteria; Pseudomonadati; Pseudomonadota; Gammaproteobacteria; Enterobacterales; Enterobacteriaceae.
ACCCGAUGCAAACUGCGAAUACCGGAGAAUGUUAUCACGGGAGACACACGGCGGGUGCUAACGUCCGUCGUGAAGAGGGAAACAACCCAGACCGCCAGCUAAGGUCCCAAAGUCAUGGUUAAGUGGGAAACGAUGUGGGAAGGCCCAGACAGCCAGGAUGUUGGCUUAGAAGCAGCCAUCAUUUAAAGAAAGCGUAAUAGCUCACUGGUCGAGUCGGCCUGCGCGGAAGAUGUAACGGGGCUAAACCAUGCACCGAAGCUGCGGCAGCGACGCUUAUGCGUUGUUGGGUAGGGGAGCGUUCUGUAAGCCUGCGAAGGUGUGCUGUGAGGCAUGCUGGAGGUAUCAGAAGUGCGAAUGCUGACAUAAGUAACGAUAAAGCGGGUGAAAAGCCCGCUCGCCGGAAGACCAAGGGUUCCUGUCCAACGUUAAUCGGGGCAGGGUGAGUCGACCCCUAAGGCGAGGCCGAAAGGCGUAGUCGAUGGGAAACAGGUUAAUAUUCCUGUACUUGGUGUUACUGCGAAGGGGGGACGGAGAAGGCUAUGUUGGCCGGGCGACGGUUGUCCCGGUUUAAGCGUGUAGGCUGGUUUUCCAGGCAAAUCCGGAAAAUCAAGGCUGAGGCGUGAUGACGAGGCACUACGGUGCUGAAGCAACAAAUGCCCUGCUUCCAGGAAAAGCCUCUAAGCAUCAGGUAACAUCAAAUCGUACCCCAAACCGACACAGGUGGUCAGGUAGAGAAUACCAAGGCGCUUGAGAGAACUCGGGUGAAGGAACUAGGCAAAAUGGUGCCGUAACUUCGGGAGAAGGCACGCUGAUAUGUAGGUGAAGUCCCUUGCGGAUGGAGCUGAAAUCAGUCGAAGAUACCAGCUGGCUGCAACUGUUUAUUAAAAACACAGCACUGUGCAAACACGAAAGUGGACGUAUACGGUGUGACGCCUGCCCGGUGCCGGAAGGUUAAUUGAUGGGGUCAGCGCAAGCGAAGCUCUUGAUAGAAGCCCCGGUAAACGGCGGCCGUAACUAUAACGGUCCUAAGGUAGCGAAAUUCCUUGUCGGGUAAGUUCCGACCUGCACGAAUGGCGUAAUGAUGGCCAGGCUGUCUCCACCCGAGACUCAGUGAAAUUGAACUCGCUGUGAAGAUGCAGUGUACCCGCGGCAAGACGGAAAGACCCCGUGAACCUUUACUAUAGCUUGACACUGAACAUUGAGCCUUGAUGUGUAGGAUAGGUGGGAGGCUUUGAAGUGUGGACGCCAGUCUGCAUGGAGCCGGCCUUGAAAUACCACCCUUUAAUGUUUGAUGUUCUAACGUGGACCCGUGAUCCGGGUUGCGGACAGUGUCUGGUGGGUAGUUUGACUGGGGCGGUCUCCUCCUAAAGAGUAACGGAGGAGCACGAAGGUUGGCUAAUCCUGGUCGGACAUCAGGAGGUUAGUGCAAUGGCAUAAGCCAGCUUGACUGCGAGCGUGACGGCGCGAGCAGGUGCGAAAGCAGGUCAUAGUGAUCCGGUGGUUCUGAAUGGAAGGGCCAUCGCUCAACGGAUAAAAGGUACUCCGGGGAUAACAGGCUGAUACCGCCCAAGAGUUCAUAUCGACGGCGGUGUUUGGCACCUCGAUGUCGGCUCAUCACAUCCUGGGGCUGAAGUAGGUCCCAAGGGUAUGGCUGUUCGCCAUUUAAAGUGGUACGCGAGCUGGGUUUAGAACGUCGUGAGACAGUUCGGUCCCUAUCUGCCGUGGGCGCUGGAGAACUGAGGGGGGCUGCUCCUAGUACGAGAGGACCGGAGUGGACGCAUCACUGGUGUUCGGGUUGUCAUGCCAAUGGCACUGCCCGGUAGCUAAAUGCGGAAGAGAUAAGUGCUGAAAGCAUCUAAGCACGAAACUUGCCCCGAGAUGAGUUCUCCCUGACCCUUUAAGGGUCCUGAAGGAACGUUGAAGACGACGACGUUGAUAGGCCGGGUGUGUAAGCGCAGCGAUGCGUUGAGCUAACCGGUACUAAUGAACCGUGAG